UGGCCAGUACAGAGGGCUGCGAAGCCGUAAGGUGGAGCGAAUCCCUUAAAGCUGGUCUCAGUUCGGAUUGGGGUCUGCAACUCGACCCCAUGAAGUCGGAGUCGCUAGUAAUCGCAGAUCAGCAACGCUGCGGUGAAUACGUUCCCGGGCCUUGUACACACCGCCCGUCAUGUCAUGAAAGUCGGUAACACCCGAAGCCAGUGGCCUAACCUUUUGGAGGGAGCUGUCGAAGGUGGGAUCGGCGAUUGGGACGAAGUCGUAACAAGGUAGCCGUACCGGAAGGUGCG
RNAcentral lists this ribosomal RNA (287 nucleotides) under Mycobacteroides abscessus subsp. abscessus. RNAcentral describes it as "partial 16S ribosomal RNA". It matches the Rfam family "Bacterial small subunit ribosomal RNA", at positions 1231 to 1516 of the family's 1533-position model. The record is from RNAcentral. Lineage: Bacteria; Bacillati; Actinomycetota; Actinomycetes; Mycobacteriales; Mycobacteriaceae. RNAcentral also lists the same sequence under 1 other name.